This is a long non-coding RNA of Symphalangus syndactylus (siamang), 25984 nucleotides long. RefSeq lists it as uncharacterized. The record is from RefSeq and is a predicted model, not a curated record. NCBI's taxonomy places the organism in Eukaryota, Metazoa, Chordata, Mammalia, Primates, Hylobatidae.
GUCAGAAAGCUGAGUAUCAUGAACCACUUCCUCCAGCGCAUCCUUCAUCUUCAGCCCUGGCAGUUUAGUUCGCUCAGGAACUAAACCCUGCCAAGUGCUUUUACUCUGUCUUCUCAGCUGCUACUUAAUUGAGUCCAUCUCCUUUUCUAGCUUGAAUGUUGUGCCUGGCUCACUCACCUGGACACUUUGUUCUCCACACAUGGCUGUGGAGUGAUGUUUGAAAACUACAAAUAUAUUGAUUCCUUAUCUAAUACCUGUAACUGUCUUUCGAUUUCCUUCUGGAUAAGGUUGAAAUUCUUUAGCAAAGCAUCCUAUAUAAUCUGAUACUUGCUUUCUAUUUAACCUUGAAUAUUAUCUGCCUUAAUAUUAAUAUUAAUGGUCUUAUAUUAUUAACUUAAUUCUCACCACCUUUCUGUGGUGGACAUCCUAUUAUUAUCUCUAUUUAGAUAAGAAAGGGGUGGCUAAGAAACUUGCCUAUGGUCAUCCUUUUCUCUGGCAAAGCCAGCUAUUUUGAAUUUGUGAAUGGUUUAUCCUCUGUGUGUUUAAAUGUACGAUUUUCUUUCCUAGGACUGCUUCAACUCUCUAUAUCUCACUGGGAAACAUCUAGUCACCAUUCAAAACUAGUUUCAACUACCUCCUCCCCUGGGAAGCAUUUUCCAAUACACCCAGGCAGAAAUGAUCCCUCCCUACCCUGAACCACAGUGGCAGCAUAGGAUCGUGCUUACAACCAUAGACUUGGACAUCACAUUGAUUUGAAACUAAUUCAGCUCUACCAGGUGAAAACUGAGACCUCAGAAGAUUUAUUUAGUCUGUCUAAGCCUCAGUUUUCUCAUUUGUGACACUAUGAUAAGAAUACCGAUUUCAUGUUUCUCGGCAGGAUUAAAUGGGGCUACGUAUGUAACAAUGCACAUACCACAAUGCUUGGCACUAGUAAGCAAUGUGUGAAUUCUGGCCGAAUAUUGUAGUCAUUAACAUAGUGGAUCUUAGAAUACAGUUGUCACGGUAAAUCUGUGCCUUUAUCGAAUUUACUUAAUCAUAACCCAGAAAGCAAAUUUCCCUAGGCUCUAAGUGACCUGAUAUCCUCUGUAUUUGCCAGAACACUUCUAUGGAUAUACUAUAAAUCAUUUAAUUGACCAAGCUUCUGUUUUUGCUUUGGCUGUGAAAGGUUUUAGAAGCAAAUGAUCUUCCCACCUAACUACAUACGGGACCUGGAGUACACAUUGUCCUUAUGUUUAUCUUAUGAGUUCACUUCACUCUCUUUUACCACAACCUCCUUAACCGUUCGCCUUACUGUUUGGUAUGUAUUUCUAUAAACAGGCUCAAAUCUUUUGUGCGUUGUGAUGGAGUGCUAGUAAUUUUUGGAGGGUAUAACAAGAGACGGCUGAGCUCGGCAACCUAAAAGCCUUUGUUGACUGACUGAUGUUUGAAUGCCUGAUCUGUCAAAUCACAAUAAUGGAAAGAAAAUAACGCCAAUUCCUUAAUAAUGGAUAUGAUAAUUUGUACUAUUUUAUAUGGAUAAAAUUCUUUGAUUUAUUGAAAUAAGAAUAGCAGCUGAAAGGAGCUGAGGUAUGUUUUAUCUAAUAAAUAUGCAGCAUGAAAAUGCUCUGAACCAUUAAGACCCAUGUAGAAACUUUAUUUAAGGCCACAUACUUGUGUUCUCAAAUCUUUAGGAAUCAUGAAAUGAAAUGUGGCUACCUUUUAUGUAAUCAGUUUCUGAACGAAAACUUAAGAGAAAAAAGAGUCUUGUAAAUAUUUUAAAAACUAUCUGAAAACCUAGACCAAUGAGUGAGUGACUAAGAACUACUUCAAAUUACCAUGUAAGUUAAAUGUAGCCUGCGAGGUGCAUUGCCAGGAUUAGGUUUUAAAAAGCUCUUUCAAUCUUCAAACUUCAAUAAGGAUCUUAAGGAAGCCCAGUUUUCUUGCUAAUAGUGAGCCAGCAAAAAAGAGUCAGAUGUUUGUUACUAUCCUGUCAUUGGGAUUUUCCUUUAAAUCAACCACUCGGCAGUGCAGAUCUCUGGGGAAACACUUUUUUUUUUUUUUAUGAUGUCAGUUUCUGAAUUCAAGUGUGAUACUGUCAUAGAGUCUCACACAAUUUUGAAGUGACCCUAAUUCCAUGGAAAGAACUCCCAAAACUGGGCCUUGACUCUUAAAAAGAAGAAAAAUAUACAAGUGGGUGAUAUUAAUCUCAGAAAAUACUUUGUCUUUUCAGUGAUUUAAUUCCUCAAACCAUGAGAAAGCUGUUGAUUGCAAUCAAUUUACAUAGAAAUUUGUCAGACUAUGCCAACAUUGUGACUGCCGCUUCAAAAAAUGUAACUGCCUGUAGUAAACAGCCCUGAAUCUCCUGUGAAUGCAGAGGCAGUCCAUAAAUGCUAUGGGGUUCUUUUAACUUUAAUGCUUUAAUAUACACAUCCCUCAUGCAAAAUUCUUUCACUGUAAUAACAUGAUAUCUUAUAAAAAAGUAACAGGUUUGUGCAUACAGGAGACAUAUUUGACCCUGUGUGUUUUAAAAGAUGAUUGUGACUUAAGGUUUGCAACAGUGGAAAUGGUUUUCUAGACAGGAGAAAUCAGUGAGGUGGGUUGCCUUGACAACAUGGGUUAGUUGCAUCAAGAAAUCCAUGGCAAUACAGGACCUAAUCUUCUGUUAUGUCAAGAUUGCAAACAAUCUACCAAAUUAGGUUAAAAGAAAACGAAUCCCACAACAAGGCAGUGUUAUCUGACCUAUGAAAUAUUAGUUCUUACUUUUUAUCAUGAACCUUGUUAGAAAAGAUGAAAAAAUCUAGGUGGGCAAGACAGUCAGGAAAGCAGGAGUAAAGUGGGUUUCACUCAAAAUUCUGCUGUCCUCUCCUCUAAAGCGCUUCAUCCCCAGAAGGAUUCCAGGAGUUCUGGCAUAUUCUCCGAAAGUCGAUCCUGCUAAGAAAAAUCUUACCUUGAUUCUGUUGAUUUCCCCAGCAGUCUCCACAAAGCUUCUCUCUGGGGAUUAUCACUUGCUCCUAUUGCAUAUUCUUAAAUAAUGAGCAUAAAUAAGGAUUACCACAACAAAGCUAGUUAUUAGUUAAAUAGAAAACAAAACCUGUUAACAUAUGUGCCCUGUAGUCCAAUUAUCCCGGCGGGGCUGAGGAAAGAUUUAUCUAUAAAGUAUUAAGCCUCAAAGACAAAGCCUGUUAUUGAAAACCUACAUUAUUGAACAUGCUUGUUUCCUUCCCCCAGCAAGCACCCCUUUGUGGCACUGUUCAAAGUUCACAAUUUUGAUACUCUGCUUCUAAAAAUCACCAUAAAGCAAUUUUGAAUGAGAGCUUAGAUUUUUCUUUUAUAGAGGAUUCUUUUAAGGUAAUCAGAGCAAUGCUUUUCUUUGGCUUAAACUGCAGUAUCAGUUUCAUUUUCAACACUGUCGCAUGCUGCUACCCAUCGGAUAUUAUCAGAGGUGGUCCCCAGUGCAGGAGACAUACUGUGUGUCCGGGCUGCCCUUUGGUUUUGUCUUUCCUGGCUUGAAGAUUGUGGAAGUGAAUUGGGACUGGAGGGACACCUAUUAGGAGCAAAGGAACUGCCUCUGUAACAACAAAGUUGAGAAGCACUAGGGCAAAGUCCCAUGAGUUCAGACAGUAUGAAUCUGCACACGAUGAUGGCUCCAACCUGUGCAGGGCCAAGGUAACCUAACAGACUGUGGUGUUGACUAUGAAAGCUAAGAACGAAGAGAGUUUGUUCCAACUGGCAUUUAUUUUCUUUCUCCUGGGUGACAGAAUGCCUAAUAGAUGGACCCACCAUCUACAAUAAAGGCCAGUGUUACUCAUCAGGUUUUAUGUCUGGGGGAAGCACAAACCAUCACUCUAAGCCUAUGAAUAGUUUAAAGGGUACCAGUGGAUGAAUGAAAGCCUUGUUUGCUAGAAGUAUCUUUAGAAGUGACAAGUGAACACACAUAGCAUCAACAAUGGUUCACUGACUAUAUACUAGGCAGAAAAAUAUGCUUAUUUUGGAAAUUUGCCAAAGAAAUAAUCAUGGACAGCUUCUGAUUCAGUCCUAAGUAUUAGAAUUUCUCAUUAAAUCAAUAUAAGAAUGCAGAAAAUCCACACAAGUAUAAAGCCAUAAUUUGUGCUUUACUACAUUCUUUUACUUUAUAAGUUAAUAGGUUCACCAACAUACCUUGCAUGCAAACACUCUUAGGGACCACAUGAACCAGGAAUUUAAGAAAACAGAACCCAUCUUGAUGGGUACAGCAAACCACCAUGGCACAUGUAUACGCAUGUAACAAAGCUGUAUUUUCUGCACGUGUAUCCCAGAACUUAAAGUAUAAUAACAAAAAAUUCUAGCUACAGCAUAUUCAGUGAAGAAUAAAAUCUCUUCCACAAAUAAAUAAUAGGGAAGUAAGAAAUGAAGUGUGGCAGAGUAAUUCUAUAUAAAGAAAAGAACCCAUCUUUAUGCCAAUGACAUCUAGCACCUGAGGCUUUCUUUUUGAUAUUUUCAGAAUGAUUGAAAAAUGUGUGAGUAAUCAUUCUCUCCCUGAGUCAAUGCUACACAAAACACGGUCCUGCACUGGCAUCACUGGGAACAUGGUAGAAAUGCAGAAUCUUGUGCCCCACCUUAUGCCUACUGAACCAAGUUGAUAUGGUUUACCUGUGUCCUCACCCAAAUCUCAUCUUGAAUUGUAGGUCCCAUAAUUCCCACGUGUUUUGGGAGGGACCCAUUGGGAGUUAAUGGAAUCAUGGGGGUGGGUAUUUCCUGUGCUAUUCUCAUGAUAGUAAGUCUCAUGAGAUCUAAUGGUUUUAUAAAGGGGAGUUUCCUUGCACAAGUUCUCUUGUCUGCCGCCAUGUGAGAUGUGCCUUUGACCUUACACAAUGAUUGUGAGACCUCCCCAGUCACGUAGGACUGUGAGUCCAUUAAACCUCUUUCUUUUGUAAAUUGCCCAGUCUCAGGUAUGUCUUUAUCAGCAGCAUGUAAACAGACUAAUACACAAGACUUGAUUCUUUUUUUUUAUUUUUUGAGAUGUAUGCCAUGUACCUAGAGGAAAAGUAUCAUUUUAACAACCACAUAGAAUUUCACUGUAUGACAAUCUCUUGCUCUAUUCCUCUGCACCCUUCGUUCCUAUUAUCUCAAGAUAAUCACUUUCAAAUACAUUAAAUAAUGCUCCUGAUAUUUACCUCCAUCUCUUUAUAUAAUGGUCUUCUAUUGCUAUUGACGGCUCAUUAAUAUUACAGUUUAUCUAUUGAUCUCAUUAUUGUUGAAGACUUAAUGCUUAGCCAUACCAUUUCUCACUCGCAUUUCCCAUAACGUCCCAAUAUAAGUGUAUGGCUACAUUGGAUAUGUCAAUAUAAGAAAUUAUAACUAUAUAAAAUGGCAUUCAUUAAAUAAACUAACUAUUACUGUAGAGCAAUGCUUUUGAAAGUGUCAUCUGGUGACCCUGAGACCCUUUCAAGGGAUCCAUGCAGUCAAAACUAAUAAUAAUUCUUUGUUUUUUAUUUUAAUCAAAUUUGGUUAAAUUUGGUUGGAGUGUUUCAUUGAAAUCAACUUAAGCUGGGAUCUUAGUUUCUACUAUUUCUCCAAAGUCACUUGAUAAGUGCCUUUGAUUCAGAAAUUUGGAUGAGGAGACACUCUAGGGAAGACUGAAGAUGUAGGCUAUGUGGAAACCAGGAGAUUAUUUUUCUUACAGAAAUAAAUUCCUGAGCUUAGUCUUUUUCAAAAGACUCGAGCCUAUUAAAGGUGUCUGGAAAUACCUUUAUGACAAUGAAAUAUCUUUAUGACAAUAAGUCUUUGGAGCACACAUCUUCUUCAGGAGCUGAGAGGCUGAAGUCAUACUGAAGAUCAGUGCCAGCCAGCCCUUUUUGGCCAGUGUAUCUUGGGAAAGGAAUAUUUAUCUAGGCUGCUGGGAUCAUCUUCUACAUUUAAGGCAUACAGUUGCACAAAUUGGUCUGUGGCUGUCACAGGGAGCAGUGGUCCAAGGAGGACCAGAGGCUCCUAAACAUAUCUGUUGGGCCUGAGGCUAAGAAUCACACAAUGAACUCCAAACAGAAGCCGCAGUUGUUCAAGGUUGCUCAGUGCCAGAAAACUAAGGUGAAUCAGGUGCAUCAGGCAUCUAAAUUCCAGGACUCAAAAGACAGUGUCUGUAGCAGUUGGGGCCAAGUAGGUUUCUCCUCCUUCACUGAAAUGGUAUGCUUUGGUGUUCCUGGUGUCAGCCACUGCUGAGUUUUUCACUUCUGCUUCUUUCAUUUCACGGUUCUUGAACCAAAUAGUUAUCACUGGAUCAUCAAGGUGGAGGGUUGAUGCUGCAUAGCAAUCUGUGUACACGGUCUUUUGGAACACAAAUUUCAACACUCUAAGCUGUUCCAGGGUAAAAACUGGAUGGCUUCAAUGUGCACAGCUUGGUUUUGCUGACAUGAGAUUGUUUGGGAAUGCUAUAGUUCAAUCAACUGGGUCACGAUAGCCACACUGUAAUGUCUCUGUCUACUCUGUGUCCUUUUAGUUUUUUAUAUUUUUGAAUUCUAAAUAAGGUUAUAUUUUGAAGUGGGAGGGGGGAUUAAACAGCUUUGAAAACUAGUUGUAAUCUCAAAGACACUUUGAACAAAAAUUCUAGAACCAUAAAAAUGCUAAAAAGCUGAAAUUAACUUACAGUGUAAACAUACUAAUAGUUAAUAUUUAUUCUCAUCAUAUUCCAGAUAUGAUGCUAAGUUGUUUACAUGCAUUAUCUUAUUCAGCUGUCCUAUGAACCAUCUAAGGGGGUACAUAUUCUUAUUAUCCCCAUUUAUGCAUGAGAAAAUAGAGGCAUGGAGAAAUGAAAUAGCUUAUCCAAGGUUAUAAAGCUACAGUGACUGCUUUUAAGAACCAAACCCUAGCCGCUGACUCUAGCUAGAGCUCAAGAUCUUAAUCAUUACACUGGUCAAAUGCAGUAGAUUAAAAUUAUAGGCUAUUGGAUUACUUUGUAAGAGAAGUCUUUAAGGUAAAUAUUUCAAUGCAUCUGUACAAUGAUUUAUUACUCUGUCAGGUACUCUUAUGCAAAUGAAUGCCUGGAACAAUUGGUACAACUCUUUAGAAAGUAAGCAUAAGAUAAAUAUUGUUCAAAUAUGUCAGACAAGGCUACUUGUUUUUAUUAACUUUUUAAAAUGAACUCCUGAAGAGGUUUUGGUAUAACUGUUUUUCUGUCUUAAUAGUGCUUACUUUAUUAAUUUGCUCAGCAAGUUCUUUAUAGAUAAUCUAGAUUGUAAACUUAAGCCAGCAUAACCCUUAUCUGGAUGGCCAUACAUUCUGAAUGACUGAUAUGCAAAUUAAUCAAUGCAUUGAACCCCCACAAUCAUCUAGUGCCUGAGAAAUAGUGAGAAAUAGUCAGCUCUUUAAAAAUGUGCAUGCUACCCUCUUGUUGGCCUUCAAGUGGAUUCAGUGCUAAAUACUGAUUUGGUAAGAACAAAACAAUGAAUCUGCUACAGUGUUGAUGAUGGAGGGAUGGGAGAGACAAUAAUAUCAUUAUUUUCUAGGACUCUACAAAGUACUUUUACUGACAUCAUUUUAUUCAACAGAACCCCCAAAAGUUGAAAAACUGGGUAUUAUUGCCAACCUUCUACCUCCUUUCCCUUUCUUGAAAUAAAACUAUCUUAGGUCACUGGACGCACCCAAAGCCACCAAACAACUACAUGGUGGGGAGGGUGAAUCCAGUUCUUCCACACACUAAAUCUAGAUUCUUUCCACUGUAUUUUACUGCAUCCCAUUAGGAAAAUAUUUGCAGAGUUAUACGAACAUUUCUACCUCACAGAGAUUGUACAUUCUUGGCCUGGGGACUGAAUCUAGCCUUCAGACCUCUUUUGUUUUGCCUGAAGAGUUUUUGAAUUUGCAUCGGUUACUAUUAUUUUAAAAAUGGUAAGAGAUUAAAUCUGGGAUUUUCACUUCAUUUGCAAAAUAGUUUUGGCAACAAUCAACUAGAACUUAGUAGGGACAUCCCCCUUGAGAGUAGGCACAUCUAUUUCAGAAUGCCACAGACCUCACCACUCCUUACCAUAUCCCUCAGUACCGUUAUCUGCUAUUUUUCAUCAUAAAACCAGAUCUCUUCAUUCAUUUUUAUUACCUAUCUGGUUUCUGAUAUAAAGUAAAUUGUCUGUGGACUAAGCAGAUCUCUACAGAUACUGUUAGUAAUUUUCCUCAUCCAACUUGGACAGGGUAAUCUUUAUGCAUCUUUCUAGCCCUGGUUCCCUACAGUCAACAACUUUUUAUCUUAAUUUUCUUCAUUAAAUUGUUCCCCUAAUGGAACAGAGAGGCAGCUUUGAAAUUGAAGAUUUCUUCAGCUAAAAAUUCUCACAAAUUUCCCUUGAGUCAUACUUUAAUAGUUGGAAUUGGCCCUGUCUGGAAUUACUAGAAUUAUUCCCCAUACCAUUUUCAAGUCUGUUUCAAAUUAUUUUGACUAACUCAUUUUCCAACUCCCUCCCUCCAUCUCUGUCCUGCCAGAAUGUAAAUUCUCUGAGGUCAGAAGAUUCUGGUCUUGUCCACUACUAAAAUCUUAGGCCAGGUACAAUGACUGGCCACACGGCAGGUGCUCAGUAAAUAUUUGUUUACUGAAUGAAGAUAAAAAUGAUGAAUCCUAAGUGGAUGUCACUGGAGCCCUCUCAGUGUGGUCUUUCAGACCUAGCUGCCUGUUGUGUGGUCUUCUAUAUGAACAGAGUCCUUUCUUCUCAGCAAUCUUGUAGGAAAUAAUUCAUUUCCUAGAAGCAGAAAAGGAUCUAGCUCCAAAAUUUGUUAACUUUGUUUAUUGAUAAAAAUACUCCUUCAAAAUAUCAGUUUUUGUAUUGAACUAACAUUUACAGAAAACCUAGCUUUUAAGAAAAUAGAGUUAUCUUUCUUAGGUUAACUAAACUGAUUUGCUCAGACUUUAAACCUACACUGGGUUUUUUGUUUGUUUGUUUUUUUACUGUGUGAAGUGGAAAAUGGCUUUCAGCCCAUCCAGCCUCUUUUCUUAGGGUCAAAAGUCUUUCAUGUAUGCCUCAGGGCUGCAGAAGAGCUUUGCUGUCACUUGCUUUUGCUUUAUUUUAGCCUUCACUCACUUGCCAACAGCUUAUAAGGAAAAAAGAAAGUGUAGCGAAGGUACUUACAUCUGGCUUCCAGUCACUUUUCAGGAUGCCUCCUAAAUGCUAACUGCCCUCAAACAUUUUCGUUUUCUCUCUUCUCUUUUCUUCAAUUUUAAUCCUACUUUUCAAAUUUAAAAAAUAUAGAGUCCUUCUUGCUUUUCUCACCACGGUUUGCUUUGAAGGGUAAUGAGAAAGAUUUAGACGCAGGCUGUUUCUUUAUCACUUAGGUCUUGGACUCCCCCUCUUAUUCAGCAUCCUAUCCUGCACCACUUAAGCUACUGCAGAUAUGAAGGAUUUUCUUUAUCUCUUUUAAAAAUUCUUCUGAACAUUUAAAAUGCAUUUGAAUGUUAGGUCUCUUUCUUUCUUCCAUUUUUAAAAAAAUAAAUGGAUUCUUCACUUGCUUUUCACAAAAUCACAGGAUUUUUUUUAAAUUUUAUUAUUAUUAUACUUUAAGUUUUAGGGUACAUGUGCACAAUGUGCAGGUUUGUUACAUAUGUAUACAUGUGCCAUGUUGGUGUGCUGCACCCAUUAACUCGUCAUUUAGCAUUAGGUAUAUCUCCUAAUGCUGUCCCUCCCCCCACCCCCCACCCCACAUCAGUCCCUGGAGUGUGACGUUCCCUUUCCUGUGUCCAUGCAAAAUCACAGGAUUUUAAGUUGGAAGAAACUUUAAAGAUAUCCUACCAGUCUCCUUGUUUUACAGAUGAAGAAACUGAGACAAGACUCAAAGCGGUUAAGUACAGAACCAGAAUUAAAACCCAACCUUCUGGACUCCUAGUCAGAAGUACUCUUUCCUUUAGUGUUGAAAUUAUUAUUUUUUUAUUAAGCUAUGCUCCUUAUACUUUAGUUAAAAGAUGAUUUAAAAAUACUUAUCAUUCCCUAAGUGUAGGGCUCUUUGUGCCAUGGGAAGGGAGUACAAAGUCUUCGGGAGGGAAUUCCUUAUAGUAGAAGCAAUGUUGUUUUCUAGGUAAACCUGUUUUUACUUUGUUUCAUGUUUCCAUGUGGAGGGACCUCUGUCAGAAUAACAAAGCUAGCCCAUCACUCACUUCUUCACCAUGAAGAAUGAGGAAAAAAUACUGGGUAUGCAUUGCUCAGCAUCUGUCUACCUCCUGCCCUACUUUUCCCACAUAUUUUAUAAUCUCUUAUGCUAUGUAUUUCACAGUUCUCCUCUAUCUGCAGCUGUCUAGUUUGAAAUAAAUACUCAUAUGAAAGAUAACAACAUUGGAAUAAUUAGGCUAUGAGUGGUGUGUUCAUGUGAGAAACAACAGAAGAGAAGCCACAUGAUGGUGCCAUUCAGAGAAAAAUAGGAGGUCAGAAGGAUGCUGACCUGGGAGAGAUUCUCUUUUGGCAUGAAAUCUUUCAGCUAUCUGUCUUAUUUUAAUGUUGAUAAUCUCACACUUGCAUGCUGAUGCAGGUACAAAGGAGCUAGGCACCAUCAGUCCAGACAGAUUGUAUCAAAGUAUUUCUUAUUUCUCACAUACUUAUCAAUCCAAUAGGAAUUUGGUUCAAUCUAAAAUAUUAUCUUCAAAAAAGCCAUGUUGAUUUCCACCACCUUACAUUUCAAAAAAAUUACACCAAGAAUUUAGAGAAAAUUUCUUCCUAUAUUUCAUGUUAAGACUUGAGAAAUUAGAAAUGUUACUUAUUUUGCUACACUGAUUUUGUAUCCUGACACUUUACUGAAGUUGUUUAUCAGUUUCAGGAGGCCUUUUGAGAGUCAUUAGAGUUUUCUAGGUCUAGAAUUAUUUUGUCAGCAAAGAGAGAUAGUUUGACUUCUUCCUUUCCUAUUUGGAUGCUUUAUAUUUCUUUAUCUUGCCUGAUUGCUGUGGCUAGCACUUCCAGUACUAUGUUGAAUAGGAGUGGUGAGAGUAAGCAUCCUUUUCUUCCUCCAGUUCUCAAACAGACUGCGUCCAGCUUUUGUCCAUUAAGUAUGAUGCUGACUGUGGGUUUGUAGGGCUCUUUAGAUGUAGAUGGCUCUUAUUAUUUUGAGAUAUGUCCUUUUUAAGACUAGUUUGUUGAGGGUUUUUACCAUGAAGGAAUGCUGGACUUCAUUGAAAGCUUUUUCUGCAUCUAUUGAGAUGAUCAUAUGGUUUUUGUUUUUAACUUUGUCUAUGUGGUGAAUCAAAUUUACUGAUUUGCGUUAUGUUGAACCAACCUUGCAUCCCAGGAAUGAAGUCUACUUGAUCAUAGUGAAUUAGGUUUUUGAUAUGCUGUUGCAUUUAGUUUGCUAAUUUUUUUGAGGAUUUUUUGCAUCUAUGUUCAUCAGGGAUGCUGGGCUGUAGUUUUCUCUUUUGUUGUGUCUUGGCCAGGGUUGUUAUCAGAGUGAUGCUGGCUUCAUAGAAUGAGUUAGAGAGGAGUCCCUCCUCGAUUUUUGGGGAUAUUUUCAGUAGAAUUGGGACCAGCUUUUCUUUGUAUAGCUGGUAUAAUUUGGCUGUAAAUCCAUCUGGUUUGGGGCUUUUAAAAUUUAUUUUUAUUUUUGUAUUACUGAUUCAAUUUCAGAACUUGAUAUUGAUCUGUUCAGGGUUUCCAUUUCUUUCUGAUUCAAUCUUUGGCGAUUGCGUGUUUCCAGAAAUUUAUCUUUUACCUCUAGAUUUUCUAGUUUGUGUGCACAGAGGUGUUCAUAAUAGUCUUUGGACAUCUUUUAUAUUUCUGGGAGAUCGGUUGUAAUGUCACCUUUGUUGUUUCUGAUUGUGCUUAUUUGGAUCUCCCUUUUCCCUUGUUAAUCUACUUAGUGGCCUAUUGAUCUUGUUUAUCUUUUCAAAGAACAAACUUUUGGUUGCAUUGAUUUUUUGUAUGCUUUUUUUGGUUCUUAAUUUCAUUUAGUUCUGCUCUGAUUUUAGUUAUUUUUUUCUUCUUCUAGCUUUAAGGUUAGUUUGUUCUUGUUUUUCUAGUUUCUGUAGGUGUGAUGUUAGAUUGUUAAUUUGAGAUCUUCCUAAUUUUUUGAUGUAGGUGUUUAGCACUAUAAACUUUCCUUUUAUCACUGCCUUUGCUGCAUCCCAGAGAUUAAGAUAUGUUGUGUCUCUGUUUUCAUUUAUUUCAAAGAACUUUUGAUUUCUGCCUUAAUAUAAUUGUUUACUCAAAAGUCAUUUAGGAUUAAGUUGUUUAAUUUCCAUGUAAUUGUUUGGUUUUGAGAAAUCUUCUUGAUACAGAUUUCUAUUUUUAUUUCACCAUGGUUCAAGAGUACGGUUCGUAUGAUUUAGAUUUUUUUUUAGUUUAUUGAGACUUCUGCUUUAUGGCUUAGCAUGUAGUUGAUGUUAGAGUAUGUUCUGUGUGCAUAUGAGAAGAAAUGUGUAUUCUGUGGUUGAUGGAUAGAGUGCUCUGUAGAUGUCUAUUUGGUCCAAUUGGUCAAGUGUCAAAUGUAAGUCCAGAAUUUGUUAAUUUUCUGCCUCAAUUAUCCGUCUAAUGUUGUCAGUGGGGUGUUGCCCACUGACAUAGCCACACACUAUUAUUGUGUGGCUAAGUCUUUUCUUAGAUCUGCAAGUACUUUUUUUAUGAAUCUGGGUGCUUCAAUGUUGGGAACAUAUAUAUUUAGGAUAGUUAAAUCUUGUUGUUGAAUUGAACUCUUUAUUAUUAUGUAAUAUCUUUCUUUGUCCAUUUUUACUGUUUUUUUUUAACUAUUGGUUUAAAGUCUGUUUUAUCUGAUAUAAAAAUAGUGACCCAUCAUCUUUUCUGUUUUCCAUUUGCAUGGUAGAUAAUUUUACAGCCAUUUAUUUUGAGCUUAUGUAUGUCGUUACAUGUGAGAUGGGUCCCUUGAAGAAAGCAGACAAAUGAGUGUGUUUUCUUUUUUCCUUUUUUUUUAAAUACAACUUGCCUUUUAAGUGGGGCAUUUAGGCCAUUUACAUUCAAGGUUAAUGUUGAUUUGUGAGGUUUUGAUCCUAUCAUGAGAUGGUUAGCUGGUUGCUUUGUAGUUUCUAUUGUGUGGUUGCUUUAUAGGGUCUGUUUUAUAGGGCUGCUUUGUAGGACUAUGUACUUAGGUGUGGCUUUGUGGUAUCAGGUAUUGUUCUUUUGUUUCUAUGUUUAGAACUCCCUUAAGGAUCACUUAUAAGACUGCUCUAGGCCAGGUGCAGUGGCUCAUGCUUGUAAUCCCAGCACUUUGGGAGCCCGAGGCGGGCGGAUCAUGAGGUCAGGAGAUCGAGACCACGGUGAAACCCCGUCUCUACUAAAAAUACAAAAAAUUAGCCAGGCGUGGUGGCGGGCGCCUGUAGUCCCAGCUACUCGGAGAGGCUGAGGCAGGAGAAUGGCGUGAACCUGGAAGGUGGAGCUUGCAGUGAGCCGAGAUCGCGCCACUGCACUCCAGCCUGGGCGAUAGAGCAAGACUUCGUCUCAAAAAAAAAAAAAAAAAAAAAAAGACUGCUCUAGUGGUAACAAAUUCCCUUAAUGCUUGCUUGUUUGGAAAAUAUUUUAUUUGUCCUUUGCUUGCGAAGUUUAGUUUGGUGGGAUAUAAACUUCUUGACUGAAAUUUCUUUUCUUUAAGAAUGCUGAAAAUGGGACUCUGAUAUCCCCUGGCAUGGGGAUUCCUUCUGAGAAGUCCACUGUUAGCCUAAUGGAGUUAUCUUUUGUGUGUAAUCUGACCUUUUUCUCUAGCUGCCUUUAAGAUUUUUAAUUUUGUGUUGACUUUGGACAGUCUGGUCACUACAUCCCUUGGUGAUAUUCAUUUUGUAUAGUAUCAUGCAGGUGUUCUCUGAAUUUCUUGUAUCUGGAUGUCUACCCCUCUAGCAAGAUUAGGGGAAUUUUCUUGAAUUAUUUCCUAAAUUAUGUUUUCUAGGUUGUUUACAUCCCUCCUUCUCUCUCAGGAAUGCCACUAAUUUGUAGGUUUGGUUGCUUUACAUAAUUUUAUAUUUCAUGAACACUUCGUUCAUUUUUACACAUUUUUUUCUUUAUUUUUGUCUAAUUAGGUGAGUUCAAAAGACCAGUAUUCAAGCUCUGAAAUUCUUUCUUCUGCUUGGUUAUUAAUAUAGCUUUCAAUUGCAUUUUGAACUUCUUUAAAUUAAGAAAAACAUCCCCACAGCUGAGAGAGAAAUAUAUUUAACUUAAUAAAAAUUUAAAUAUGAAAUUAAUUUAAAAAUCAUAAGAUGAUGCUUUGGGGAAAUCUUUAGUUGUAAGUGUGUGUGUGUGUGUGUGUGUGUGUGUGUAUGCUUCUGACUUCUGCACACUCUAACUUGAUGUUUUUUAUGCUUUCCAUAUAGAUCAUUGGAAUAUUGACUCCAUCAUUUGAAACACAGUUUAUGUUUCAAAAACCAGAAUAAAAGAAGCUCCAUUUUGUGUAUUCUUAGUUCUUGUGUAUUCUUAGUUCUUGUUAACAUAAAGAAUGGAUUUUCUCAGGAGUGGAUCUGUAUCCUUUUACAGUUAAAUAUGAAUUGUCUUACAAAGACCAAGCACAUGAUGGUGUCCAGCUCUCUCUUUGAAUUGCCUGUACCAUUUCCUCUGCAGUUACAGAACAUUCUUUCAUCUUGUUCCAUCCUUCUGCGGUAGACUAUAUGCUCCCCGAGGGUAGGAUUCUAUUCUAUCUUGUUCACUACUGAACAUGACUGGUAUAUGGUAGAUCAUACAGUAAGUUGAGAGAAUUAAUAAACUGGGCAUGAUUGGAGGUCUGUCAGAACAAUCAUUCAGAACAUAGUUUGCUGGUGAUGUAAACUGAACUCUGACUAGAGGGAGAACUAUGUUUAUGGAUGGAUGCUUCCCAAAAGAAUAAGCUCUUUUGCUGCCCAGAGAAGAAUAUUUCUAUCUGAACAGGCUACUCUAUAAUACCAAUCUCAGGUGAAUUUCUUUGAAAUUUCAAAAGACUAAUUGACCUACUAGUAUUUUAUUUAAAGGCAAAAGAUAAAAUCCAUGUGAUAAAUCCCAAGUUCUAUUAGAAUAAAUCAGGAGACACUUGUAUUUUUCAUCUCAUAAUUAAUUAUUUGAUACAUGUUGGCAUUGUAAUCUAUUCACACUGGAAUAUUAUUUUAAUUGAGAUACCAAUUGUACUUCUAAGAGCAAGAAUUUUACUUCUAAGAGUUUAGGAAAUAAAAGAAAAACAAAACAAAGACAAAAAAUUAGUGAAAAAGAUUAACGAUCCAAUCAAGUUGAAAUAUUUUUCUUUUAAUAAUUUUUUGUUAUUUUGUAGUCUACUUAUUUUGUCUUUUCCCACAGAAACAGCUAAGUAGUGUACUGGACUCCUCCUUCUUAAUGAAUGAAGCAGUGAGAAAGUAAAGGGAAGGGCGUUUGACUGUAGACAGUACCACCACUGGACAAUGAGAAAUUUGUUAUGAAAAUCUUAUCUGGCUCAUUUGAAGAAUAUAAGUUUGAAAACAAAAUCAUUUCCCUAGACUGUUCUCAGUCACUUAGACUUCCCUUAGGCUUCAUAUAAUAAUAGAACGGAAAUGAAUAUGCAUCGUGAAUUGUAUGAAUUUUUUUUUUGCAAGCAUUAUAGGAAAGCUUUGAGCUAUACUACGGCAGAAAUUUUCAUUGCUUUCAGUCUUAUAAAUUUGUGAAUAAAUGGAAUAGCAAAUCUACUCCACAGAAUUGGGUUCCUAUGAUAGGGAAAUAGCCUGAAGACAUCAAAACUUCAUUGCUGAGGGCUUUCUUAUCUGUAAUCCCAAGUACUAUAAGUAAGUAAAAUUGAGAAUUAAUUAAAAAGAAUGCCAAAGAGAACUCAAAGAGCCAUAGAAUGAUUUCAGAAUGUCCAUGCACACUAAAACUCUUGCCAAUGAUUGAAAGAACAGAAGUUCAUCCAGAAUUGUCUUUUGUAGAUCCUUAUUUAUUUGUUUAUUUAUUUAUUUAUUUAUUUGAGACAGAGUCUUGCUCUGUUGCCCAGGCUGCAGUGCAAUGGCGUGAUCUUGGCUCACUGCAACCUCCACCUCCCAGGUUCAACUGAUUUUCCUGCCUCAGCCUCCCGAGUAGCUGGGAUUACAGGCACUCACCACCACACCCAGGUAAUUUUUUGUAUUUUUAGUAGAGAUGGGGUUUCACCAUGUUGGCCAGGCUGGUCUUGAUCUCCUGACCUCGUGAUCUGCCUGCCUCGGCCUCACAAAGUGCUGGGAUUACAGGUGUGAGCCACCGCACCUGGCCCUGUAGACCCAUUUUUAUAAGCCGUAACUCUUUUGGUGGAGAUGUUGUUUAAAGCAGAAAAGGAGUAGCUACAUUACAUUAAAUGUUGAAUAAGGACUAUUGGAGAAACAGAAAUGACAGCUGAUGCUCUGAGAACAGAGAACAAAGAGAAACAACAAACCCAGAUAGAAAGGCUUUUAAAACAUCGCAGGAUGUAGAAAGCAGAAUGAAGAUAAACAGCCUUAUAUGUAUUUCAAGAUAUAGAAGUUGUUAAUGUUUUCAGCCUGAAAAAUAAUUGGUGUGCAUAUAAUGAUAUACUUGAGGUAUCAGGAAAAUAUAUUAGGUAAAAUAUUAUUGUUUAAGAAAGAAGACUUCAGAAGAAUAUUUUUGUUUUAGAAUGAUUUGUUUAAAAAGAUUUCCAUCAGGAAUAAUUUAAGUAAGAAUUAAAGUUUUGAUGUUUAAAGAGAGAAUGUCUCAGCUAUUUGGCGGUAGAGUGGCACAGUGCAAUGAGCACAUGCUUUAGAAUCAGGGAGCUUUGAGUUGUGUGAUAUUGAGUGAGUUUGAUAUGAUAUUUUAAUGGGAUUGUAAUGAAAAUUGAAUUAGUUAAAUGAUAUAUGCUAAAUAUUUGGCCCAUAGAAGGAAUUCAGUAUGUGGUGGUCAUAUCAGUGAAAUAGCAAAUUCCCCUUAAUGGUAAGAAAAUUAUGCAUUUUGAAUUUAUUUUUGUCAUUAGGCAACAUCAUUCAAAGGGUGCAGGAAGAUUCUAGCUAGGAAUCUGGCCUUAUGCCUUUUCCUGUUCAAUUUUAAGGCUAUUAAUGAAAGACAUCCGGAUCAUCAAAUAAUCAAUAACAAAUUUGGGGCAGUUAACCUGCUAUGGUAACUUGCACCAGCACUUGGCUCUUUUGAAAGAUGAAUGCUACAUCAAAUUAAGGCAAGGAAGGAAUUAACAGUGUUUGUUAAAGACAGUUCUUCAUUUUUAAAAAUAGGCAUGUCAACUACAGCACUGUAAAUAAUUAUAGUGGAAAAGUAGAAAUACCAAGAUGACUACUCUUUUUUAUUUGACACAGUUAAUUCACACAGAACUUAUAUUUUAUGAACUUUACAAUUUUCACUAUUUUUGAUCUACAAAAAUGGUUAGUGCAUAUGGCUCAACAUAAGCAUUACUAAAGCAAAGGUAAUUUAUUCAUUACCUUAUUUUAUUUGUACAAAUGAGACAAGGGACAAAAAGAUGCAUGGAGUUACAUAUCUUGUAUUGUACAUUUGUCAAAUAGUUUCUAUAUGGAAAAUUACAGAAAAAAUAUAUUAGGGGAGAUAGAUAGGUGUCAGUAGUAUUUGCUAUCCUCAUAAACUUGGUUUCAUAUUUAACAAUUGGUUUCUCCCAGUCAGGAGUAACUCAAAUCUGAACUCCAUGCAAUUCUUCAGCUUCAGAAUAGGAAAUUAGUUUAUGCUUCCUAGUUGAUCUUGAAUGCAUUUCCAAUUGCACUGAGUAGUCACUAUGCUUUUUUUAUGUGUGACAUUUUGACUUUUCUGGGUCCUCAGAAUUGUUUCUGACCCUGGAUAACUUAGCAGAUUAAUGAGGCUUUUACUGAGUGUUACAAAGGUAGCUGGACUACUGACUUAAAGAUGACGAAAAUUGCUUUUCCUUGAAUAAGCACUUGAUUUUAUUUUCACUUUAAAGAUUGUCUUCUGGAAACAUUAAGAUACCUUGAUGAAUUUACUAACUAGAUUUUGGUGGAGUAAGAGUUGCAAUUAAUGACAUAACAUUUUGCUGAUAUCUUUAGAAACUAACCAUUAAGCCCCAAGGUUUGUCUAUGAAGAUUUGCACCUUUCUAUGCAGAACUGUACCUUUCUACUUUAAGAAUCCUAUUUAAUAAAUGGUGCUGGGAAAACUGGCUAGCCAUAUGUAGAAAGCUGAAACUGGAUCCCUUCCUUACACCUUAUACAAAAAUUAAUUCAAGAUGGAUCAAAGACUUACAUGUUAGACCUAAAACCAUAAAAACCCUAGAAGAAAACCUAGGCAAUACCAUUCAGGACAUAGGCAUGGGCAAGGACUUCAUGUCUAAAACACCAAAAGCAAUGGCAACAAAAGCCAAAAUUGACAAAUGGGAUCUAAUUAAACUAAAGAGCUUCUGCACAGCAAAAGAAACUACCAUCAGAGUGAACAGGCAACCUACAGAAUGGGAGAAAAUUUUUGCAACCUACUCAUCUGACAAAGGGCUAAUAUCCAGAAUCUACAAUGAACUCAAACAAAUUUACAAGAAAAAAACAAACAACCCCAUCAAAAAGUGGGCAAAUGAUUUGAACAGACACUUCUCAAAAGAAGACAUUUAUGCAGCCAAAAAACACAUGAAAAAAUGCUCAUCAUCACUGGCCAUCAGAGAAAUGCAAAUCAAAACCACAAUGAGAUACCAUCUCACACCAGUUAGAAUGGCAAUCAUAAAAAAAGUCAGGAAACAACAGGUGCUGGAGAGGAUGUGGAGAAAUAGGAACACUUUUACACUGUUGGUGGGACUGUAAACUAGUUCAACCAUUGUGGAAGUCAGUGUGGCGAUUCCUCAGGGAUCUAGAACUAGAAAUACCAUUUGACCCAGCCAUCCCAUUACUGGGUAUAUACCCAAAGGACUAUAAAUCAUGCUGCUAUAAAGACACAUGCACAUGUAUGUUUACUGUGGCACUAUUCACAAUAGCAAAGACUUGGAACCAACCCAAAUGUCCAACAACGAUAGACAGACUGGAUUAAGAAAAUGUGGCACAUAUACACCAUGGAAUACUAUGCAGCCAUAAAAAAGGAUGAGUUCAUGUCCUUUGUAGGGACAUGGAUGAAACUGGAAACCAUCAUUCUCAGUAAACUAUCACAAGGACAAAAAACCAAACACCGCAUGUUCUCACUUAUAGGUGGGAAUUAUUGAACAAUGAGAACACAUGGACACAGGAAGGGGAACAUCACACUCUGGGAACUGUUGUGGGGUGGGGGGAGGGGGGAGGGACAGCAUUAGGAGAUAUACCUAAUGCUAAAUGACGAGUUAAUGGGUGCAGCACACCAACAUGGCACAUGGAUACAUAUGUAACAAACCUGCACAUUGUGCGCAUGUACCCUAAAACUUAAAGUAUAAUAAUAAAAAAAAAACAACAAUAACAACAAAAAACAAACAAAAAAGAAUCAUUUCAUCUAAACAGAAUCUCCUGCCUACAUUGGCUAAUGGCAGAAAUUCAACAUCAUUAGCUAAAUUAAUUGUUUCAUGUGGGUUGUUCUUUUUUUUUUUUUUUUUUUUUUUUUUGAGACGGAGUCUCAUUCUGUCGCCCAGGCUGGAGUGCAGUGGUGCAAUCUCGGCUCACUGCAAGCUCCGCCUCCCGGGUUCCCGCCAUUCUCCUGCCUCAGCCUCUCCGAGUAGCUGGGACUACAGGCGCCCGCCACCACGCCCGGCUAAUUUUUUUUUGUAUUUUUAGUAGAGACGGGGUUUCACCGUGGUCUCGAUCUCCUAACCUCAUGAUCCGCCCCCCUCGGCCUCCCAAAGUGCUGGGAUUACAAGCGUGAGCCACCGCGCCCAGCCUGGGGGUUGUUCUUUAGAAUGUUAUAAACUGUAAUAGAAUUACCACCUUGAAGGCAAUUAAUUGGAUGUACUUCAAAUAUAUUCUAACCAAAUGCUAUACCUAGCAUUCUCUAUAAAACUGUUUAAAAACUACCAAAAAAAAAAAAAAAAAACCUGUUGAUGAAUCUUAGUGCCAUCAAAAUAGCCCAACUAGAACAGUUUUAAAAUGCCUCAUAUCUGUAUAGUUUGUGUCACCUCAGAAUGUGAUGACUCAGGUUGAUGACUGAGAAGGUCAUCAUUAUGAUUACUGCCUCUUAAGUAUUAUUCCAGUGCCUCAUAUUUUUAAAGGAGAAAGUGAGACGUUGGAAUACUUUCUCUAGGUUUUUAAAGCCUAUGCAUCAUGGAGGGAGGAAUUGAAUGCAUGUUCCUCAUGUCUGGGACUCAUGUGUUAGAAAGCAAGUUGAAGAUUCAGAUCCCUACACGAGUGCCACAGAGGUACACAGAUGAUGGAGAUGGCACAAGGUCUCAGGAUCAGAAAGAGAGGGAAGGCUGAGAUCUGUGACGAAUUUGAAAGCAAGUCCCUUUUUAAAGUGGCUAGACACCACUUGGCUCCACUGGUUGUUGUCAUAUGGGAGUGUGGUUCCAGUAAAGCCAGAUACUGUGAUUUUUUCAAACAAAUUCACAUGUAUAGAAUUGCACAUGAAAUAAUUACAUGUUUAAAUGUUGGUAACUAAAAUUAUAAUUUUAAGCCCCAUGGCUCAAAUAAAACACAUCUGUGGGUGCUGGGGAAGCAACCCCGGAUCAGAUUCUAACAAACACCCCUAUACAUAUAUAAGUGCUAUUAAAAAUAAAGAGUGUUGAAAUGCUGUCCUUCAUCAAUGAUUAAUAUAUUGAUAUAUUAAUAAUAAAAGAAAAUUAUUCAAUUUAUUCAAAUUAAUCAAAGAAGAUAUUUUUUAGAAGAAACUAGGAUAUAAUCAACAGAUAGUAGGUACAUAGGUGCCCACUAGGUUGCUGUGACACAUACAUUAUCAUGAAUUUUUGUUUUUUGUUUUUCUUUUUGGAGACAAGGUGUGGCUCCAUCACUCAGGCUUGAGUGCAGUGGUGCAAUCAAAGCUCACCGGAGCCUUGAAAUCCUAGGCUCAAGGGAUCCUCCUUCCUCAGCCUCUUGAGUAGCUGAAACUACAGUUGUGUGCUACCAUGCCAGGUUAAUUUUUUUUUUUUUUUUAACUUUUUUGUAGAGACAGGAUUUCACUUUGUUGCCCAGGUUGGUCUCAAACUCCUGGGCUCAAGGGAUACUCCUGCCUCAGCCUCCCAAAGUGCGCCUGGUCCAUUAUCAUGAAUAUUUAAAAAGUUAGACAUAUUUGCUGCCUUUCUCUGAUUUAUAAGUGUGUUUGUCGAGGAAAAAAAUAAGAUUUCCUAAGAGAGUUGUAAAUUAUUGAGAAUGGAGUAUUAACAAAGGAUGAAAGUUGUAUUGACAGGGUAUACUAGAUACUACAAAAGCUGGUGGUGGAAUAAAAAGACUUUUCAAGUUGCUUCUUAGCAUCAUGUUUUUUAAUUAAACAAAAUGAGUAGUGGUGAUAGAUAUGGUAAAGAAGAGAAAAUUAGAAUAUGUUAUUAUCCUAGAUUGUGCCCUCAAAUUAAAAUACUGUAUUUGACAAAGUUGAAAUGAAAAUUUAAUGUAAAUUUAGCAUGAGAAAAAAAUGAAGAAAUAUAUAGAUUCCAUGAAAUAAUUUGUAGUUCCCUGAGGACUAAGAAGAAACAUUUAGAAAAUCGUGGAGUACAAUAUGCCAUUUAACUACUGCAGACAGUGCUCAGCAUCUGUCCAGCGGAUGAAGCAAAGGGCAAGGAAUCAGGGUCCAUUUCUAUUUCUGGCAUUGAUACCUCUGGGCCCUAGAAAAACAGUGUUACCCUGCAGCACUCAGGUCACCCCAUUGUUAAAAAAAAGACCACGCAUAUCCUAAAGGAAGUUUAUGCAUUAUUUUUGAUAGCUAUAAACCAUUUGCACAUUUUAAAAAUUGAGGCUACCACAAAGGCAAGGAAUGUGAUUCUCUCUCUCCACAAUUUACAGAAUUAAUGAAGAAUUGCAAUGGUUAGCCAGCAAUCAGAUAUGUGCUAGAAUAGUCCUGUUUGCAUUCCAACUCUGCUCAUUCUGGAACCCAUGUGUUUCUUUCCAGGCAAUGUUCUAUAACUUUUGCUUUGCAUUCAAUUUAAAUAAAAAAAGCAACUCUGGGAUGAUUCAUUAUUUAAACUGUGGUCUUCAUACUCUCUCUUGGAAACUGAGGCAGCCAUAUAUGUAAGGCUACAGUUAGGCAAAAAGAUAAAUAAGUUACAUGCUAAAAUCCAGAAGUCCAGCUAUCAAACAUGAAUUAUAUAAAGUACAUCAUUGUCCUUGUUUGUAUUGUUUACAAGCUGUUCUUCGGUGGCUUUGAGUGAGACACUAACUUUGUAUUUGACUCACAGUCUUACCAUUCUUCUUCAGAAAAAUAUAACAUAAAUGAGGAAUUUGAAGACAAACAAACAUUGUAGAUACAAAAUAUACUUACCUCUCUCUUACAGCCUGAUGCACAAUAUGGAAAAUAGUACUUUUUAUUUCUGCCUACUCUAAUUACACAUGAGCCAUUAAACCAAUUCCCAAAUAAAAGCAAACAUAAAUAGUACACACUUUAUAGAAGAAAUCACUCUCUUCUAUUACCUAAUAAAUAACUUAUAAGAAAUUUGAUGAGUUGAUGUUGUUUAAUGCAAUGUAUCAUGUAACCUUCUUGGGAACUGGCCUCUGUAAACACAAUGCUAUCAUAGUUCUCAUCAAUUCAAUUACACUGAAUUAAAAGUGCAUUUUGCAUGCACAUACAUAUAUAUGUUUGUAUCUAUUACGUGCACACACUGACUUUAAAAAAAGCAUUGAAAGUAGUAUAUCAGUCAGAAGCUCUAGAAUAUAAAACAUAGGAGAAAGGAAGGAUUAUCUGCAAACACUUGGAUGAAUUUUGUGCACUGAGCUCAACACAAGACACACACCCUUAAUGGAUACUAGCAUAUUAGGAGAAUCUUAUUGGCUAAGGAAAUAGAUUUCUAAAACAAGUCUGCUUUGCAAAUGGUCCCUCCCAAACCAAUUCCUAUGGAUACUUUACCUUCCGGAGGGGUUUGAGCUUGGUCUCCAUUAUGAAGUCAUACUUGCAGAGCUCACAGCAGCGUGUGUCUGAGCUCUUUAUCCACUGGUGGAGGCAGGACUGGUGGACAAAGCGCAGUGUCCCAGUGCAGCGACAGGGUGUGAUGAGGGGGCUCUCUUCAUCCCCUUCGCAGUGACAGAUUCUGCAGAAAGACACAGCAGCCAGUAUGAGAUCUCCCAGAGAACAUUUCUCGCCUGUUAUUUCUGCCCUUGCUUAUACUAGGGCUAUUAUAAACAGCAACUUAAGAUUUAGAACACAUGGACAUUUCACUCCAACUUUGAUGCUAGAACCGAAUCUAUGAUCAAUACAGACUGAGCAUUCCUAACCUGAAAAUCCUAAAUCUGAAAUGCUCUAAAAUCCAAAACUUUUUGAGCACCAACAUAAUGCUGUGAGUAGAAAAUUCCAUUUAGUCAAAACACAGGUGCACAACCGAAAGUUUAUUCACUACCUCGAAAGGAAAAGUAAAAUUAUCUUCAGGCUAUGUGUACAAAGCAUAUGUGAAACAUAAAUGAAUUCUGUGUUUAGACUUGGGUUGAAUCUCCAGGAUAUCUCAUUAUGUAUGUGCAAAUAUUGCCAAAUAAAAAAAAAAUCCCCAGUCCAACACUGGUAGAUUGGGGAUUUUGGGUAGGUUCUAGUCCUACCCAAAAUAUCUCAUUAUAUAUGUGCAAAUAUUCCAAAAUCUUCCCCAAAUUGAAAUUGGAAACACUUCUAGCACCAACCAUUUUGGAAAAAGAAUACUCAACCUAUAUUCAUUGACUUUUACUUUUAUGGUCAUUGCUGGACUCAGAUCAUGUAAUAAGUUGUGCCUUACACACCAGCACAUCAAUAAUGCACUGUCAUUUCAUUCACACAUGGAAGUCAAUUUUAAUAGCACCACUAUCGUGCUAUGUCCCCAAUUUAAUCUAUUUAAUAGGAUACUGUCUAUGGGCUUUCAUAUAUAAAAGUUAUGAGUUUUAAGUAUUCUAAGGAAUAUUGUUUGGUAAACUUUAUUGUGUUACUUUGAUAAUAUCAGACCAUGGCAUAUAAUUUAUUAAAUAUGGUAUCUUACCAAUGUGGAAAAAUUCUCAAAAAUUUUAAAGUAUAAUGAAGGAAUAAAGUUAAUACAAGAAGUCUUAGCUUGAAAAUGUUACAGAUAUGUUCUUAGGAAUAUGCACACCUAUUUGGUUACAACAAAUGGUCUAAACUGUCAAUAAUCAUCAUUGUCUAAAAAAAUCACAAAAAUCACUGGUCACAUAAAAUUUGAGUACAGAAAAUCCUAUUGUUUAAAAAUGCUAAUAAAUACAUCUACCAAUGAAUUGAGUUGAAUUAGUUUCUGAACUACUAUGAAUUCUAGUUUCACAGAUUUGUGGUCUGAAAUCAUUGUAUCUCAUAUUCAAAUUUUAAAAAGUAAUUUAUUUUUCUCUUUGGAUGAGACAAGUCUCCCAUAACUUUAGCUGGUGAAUUCAAAUCUCAGUCCUUUAAUAAUCUGAAUGAUGUAACCAGCAGUUAGACAUUGCUAAUAAAUUUCAUUAGAAAUGUUGCUUUAAAUCUGUUAAACAUAUACACCAAUAUGUUUACUGUAGCACUAUUCACCAUGGCAAAGACAUAGAAUCAAUCCAGAUGCCCAUCAGUGGUGGAUUGCAUAAAGAAAAUGUGGCACAUUUACACCAUGGAAUACUAUGCAGCCAUAAAAAGAAUGAAAUCAUGUCUCUUGCAGCAACAUGGAUACAGCUGGAGGCCCUUAUCCUAAGUGAAUUAACACAGAAGCAGAAAAGCAAAUACUGCAUAUUCUCACUUACAAGUAGGAGUUAAAUAUUGUGUACACAGGGACACAAAGAUGGAAACAAUAAACAUGGGAGAUUGUUAAAGCAGGGGAGGGUGGUGGGAAGUAAAGUUUGAAAAACUACCUAUGAAGUCCUUUGUUCACUACUUAGGUGACAGGAACUUUAGAAGCCCAAACCUUAGCAGCAUGCAGUACACCCAUGUAACAAACCUUCACAGGUAGCCCCUGAAUCUAAAACAAAAUUUUACAAAAUGCAACAUAAAUGUGCAAUGUAACAUUUAAACUUUUUAAAAAAAAUCUACAUAAUUACUUUUUUGGAGCUGGGUCACAAUGGCAGGCUGGAAGAAUGUAUGAAUCACUGCUACUGUUCUUUCCUUUAAAGUGUAUAAGGUGUAUAUAGAUAUAGAUAUAUCAGCUCUCUCCCCAGGGGAAAUGAAAUGGCUGCUCACUCAGAUAGUGCAGAAAGAUACAGGAACUGAAACCCAACACUCUCCGAGACCUCAAAGUAAAACAGUAUGACAGAGUACACCAGGAUUUUGAAUGAAUUUCUUAAGUAAAAACAAAGUGAGCAAAAAGGAACACUGCCAUCUAAAGUUCCGGGGUGGAAGUGCUGGGAUGAGAACACAGAGAAGGUCAAUAUUAAUGUCCCCUUCCCCCUGAACUGACCUAGGAACCCGCCACGUUGGGUGUAGCACCACAUAUGAAAGGUCAAUGUGUUAAGGGAAAAUUAAAAAUUAUCUGAGUGCCUAAUUUUAAUAUAAAAACCUGAAAUAGCUUCUCUCCAAACUUAGGCCUCAGAAACUGGACUUGUUACACUUUGUAUCAUGCUUGUUGCCAGUUUAGUGUCAUAGCAUAGAUGCUCAGUCGAUGUAAAUUGAAUAGAAUUGAAUUCAGUCAACAAACUAUGACUUAUUACAAAAGCAGCCAGCAAAAGUAAAUAGAGGCUUCUCUAACAAGUUGUAAUAUUUAUUUUUGGAGCCACUAAAAUCUAAUGAAUUUUAGACAAUAAGAGUUUGAUAUUAUUUCUUAACUCCUUGGACAUCCAUCUCCUGCCUCCACAGAAAGAAAAUCUCUUCAACCGGGGGUCAGUAAACUAUGACCCAAUUUUGUCCACUGAGUAUUUUUAAUCAAUAAAGUCUUACGGGAACACAGUCUCACCCACUGGUUUAUGUAUUGUUUAGAGCUGUGUUUGCAGAGUAACAGCAGAGUUGAGUACUUGCUGCAGAGACCAUCUGGCUGCAGAAACGAAAACAUUUACUAUCUGGCAAAUGAUUCAAUUCAAUAUUUACAAUCUGACCCUUUCAGAAAAUGUUCGUAGAUCUCUGCCUUAAAGUACACACGUGAUUCUGAGUUAAAGGCAAUGUAUGAAUAUUAUUGACAAUAAUAAUAACAAAUUUUACAAAAUAAAUCACUCUAACCUCUGCAAUUAACAAUAAAACUGAAGCAAAGGUACACAGAGAAACACAAUAAAAA